AAUACUGUAUGCACAACUAAAUCACAAUAUAAAAAAAUUCGUCGCAAACUUAAAGGGGACAGUGCUUUUGCGUUGGCAGCCAUGAAACUGUGGAAUGCCCUUUCUCUUAUCAUUAGGGUGGGAUGAAAACCUGAGAAUUAUUGUCAGAUAUCAACCUGCAGCCUGCGACAGGCAAAAACAAACAAUGAGGGAGGAGGCGCAACCACACUGUAAGUCAUCUGUCACAACGUUACUAAGACAACAAUCAUAUGAGCCACCUCCUGAUCCAACUGCACCCACAGGUCUUGGCAGAGAAGAUAUUGCAAUCAGUGCAAUAUCACUCUUGCAAUCAGUUUAUCACGAAGGUGGCUACAUCUGAUUUAGCCUGUAGGGCUUCAAGGUUUAUUGUGUUGUGAGGACCGAGGUUCAUUUCAGUCUAUAACUGUUAAAGAAAAAUAGACCAUGUUGAAGUUAAAAAAAGAUAUUGACAUUAUGUGCUCCUUGUGAUGUGAUGUUCAUGUAGAAACAAUAGCCCAUUUAUUGUGGCAUUGUACUUAUACCAAGAAACUGUGGAAAGAUGUAUGUAGAUUUGUGAUUGAUAAUAUUUACAGUGAUUUUGAACUACUGUUUUUGGUUUUGUGAAUGUUGAAUGUAAGCUUGAAGACAAUUACCUUUGAUUAACCUGAUAAUAAUUUUUGCUAAAUAUUGUAUCCACAAAUGUAAAUUUACUAAUGCCAAACCAAUAUUUACCUUACUCAAGAAAGAAAUUAAUCUAUAUAUAGGAAUGAUAAACUCAUUCCAAAACAAGAAAGCUAUCAAAACGGUGAAUUUAUUUACUUUACACAAUAUAUUUGUAGAUUUAUAACCCCCGCUCCUUUCAUUUUGUUUUGGUCUUUUUUUAUUAUUAUUUAUAUCUUUUUAUGUAUUCAUAAUAUUUUCCUUGAUGUGUUUUUAUUCCCCUGGCAAGUUCUCUGCUCUGUACUCAUACUGUUUGUUUUUGAACUGGAAA
Micropterus salmoides (largemouth bass) is the source of this 988-nucleotide long non-coding RNA. RefSeq lists it as uncharacterized. Lineage: Eukaryota; Metazoa; Chordata; Actinopteri; Centrarchiformes; Centrarchidae. The transcript is spliced from 3 exons. The record is from RefSeq and is a predicted model, not a curated record.